CCCUAUGUCUUCUAUCCUCUUCUCGCUUUCUCUAUUCCUCCGCCUCUAAUCUCUAUCCUCUGCAACCGUUUCUUUUCAAUUAUAUCUUUUUGGGUGGUGAUAUUUUCUCUCUCCGGAUAAAGACCGGGCCGAUUGAGCUGUGGAAACCCUAGACAUCGCACGUGAUUUGGAUUCCCGAAGAAGGGAGUUUGUAAGAAAAUAGGUGGUGAAAUGCCUGGAGAUGAUUGCUUAGUGCGGCCCUUAUUUGGAGGUGCUAUAACUAGUUGCUUCCCUCCAAGGUUUCAGGAUGUAAGCAACAUACGAGAAGCUCCCGAUCAUCAGGAGGUUUUUGCGGAUCCUAGCCGUGAUGAGAGCCUGAUUUUUGAGCUGUUAGAUUUGAAACAUGAGGUUGGAGAUGAUGGAAGUGCUGUCUGGUUUUUACGUGACCUUGCCAAUGAACAAGAUGCUGCAGAAACCAUGGUCCUAGAGCAUUCUGGCACUCUCGAGGCAGUUGGUUUAGGUUAUGGAGGUGGACCUACAAUAGUUAAAAUGGCUGUUGGUCAAAUGGCCAUAUCGAAAGGAAGACAAGGAAGGGAGGCGCAGAAUCUUGUGCGGGUAUAUCUGGCAAAUUUGCGUCUGAAGGAAGUUUCUACUGAUGUGCUGAUUACUGCACACGAGCCGAUAUUGAUCAACCCUUUGAGUGAAAGUGCUAGGACUGUAGGAGCUGGGCCAGCUGUCCCUGCUGCACAAUCUGGAUGUCUGCCGGUAGCUGAGGUCUUCAAGCUCGCUGUCACCAACUUUAAGGUCCAUGACUGGAGUCUUUUUGGGUCAGGGGCGUGAGAAAAUAAAAGCAGAUAGGUAUGUGGGUUAUGUUAUCAAAAAAAUGUAACCAUCUCUUCUACCCCAUGAGAUUUCUUCUAGAAAUGGGCUAAAUAUCUGUGCAUUGUGUGAAGCAUAUCUUGAUCAUCUUGUAGAACCAUUGAAAGACUGAAGGUAUGUGCGAAUUGGUCGGGAUUUAUUCUAAACAGGGCCCGUGUUUCCAAUAAUCCACAGUGACUAAUGCAUAUUUUAAACUGCCGAAGGAUCUCAGCAUUCAGGAAUGGUCCAAGCCACAUUCAUGCAGUGCCUAUGAAUUUUCCUAGAUGCAUGUCUAUAGUAAGAAGAGGGUAUUCAGCAAAAGGGAAGAAAUUACGGUCAGGCACAUCACUUCGUCUGAUGGUUACAGUUGCUGAUGAUGACCAAAUCACCCAGGUAGAUGAGAACAUUGCCUGAAUGUCGUUUUGAGGCUACAAAUCUCUCCACUAGUUUUGAACCUUGGCUCUCAAUUAGAAAGGUUGUUUGGUACGUCAUAUCGUUGGCUUCUUACCAUUAUUUUUGCUGUCACUGCUGUCUAUUAUCACUUACCAGUGCUGCUGCUGCCGCCGAUCGCAUUACUCUGUUCGCUAAUGACAUCAAAAUUACUUCAGAGCUCCAUGGCCGAUUGGGUUCAAAGUGGUAGGCCCUAUCUCUUGUCGGCUGCGAACUUUCGUCAGCCUCGCACCCGAUCAAUAUGAGUGGUGGGCUCCAUUGCUGCAUCUGAGCUGGUUCCUCUUGUAUAUUUUAAAAGAUGGCAUCAAUUUAUCUUGCUCGCUACCAAUAAUUAUAGUAACAUGUGGGCCAUGGUAGGUUGGAGCUUCACUCAAAAAAAUAUAAAAAAAUAAAAAAUGAUUACAGUCAAUCUCUACCGUACAUAUGAUGAUCCACAGAUUGAUCUGCGUCGCGGUGGCAUCUAUAGAUGCGAGCUCGUCCGCCAAGUGGCUAAAUAUGGACCGUCAGGAUGUUGAGUGCAGCAGGUACACCUGAGAGUCCGUUUUAUUGGACGGUUGCAGGUAUCAUCGGAUCAGGGCGGUUUCUGCAGUAUGGGCCUUGGCCAUUUUUGGGUAAAAACUCAUGGGCUCAAGCACUGUUUUGGGCAGGAGGACGGGACCCACAUUGGACGACAAGCAGGAAAGUAGCACGUGUCCUCUUUCAGCUUUGCACAGUUUGCCUCCUCCAAUCCGAGGGUGGACUUUAGCGGUCGGAGAGUUGGAUUCUGGUCACCCCAGGGUGAACGUUAGGCAGCUGCGGCCCAGCUCUCCCUCUCCCUUCAAUUUAGCUACUCUCCUGUGUUAAGCCCAUAUUGGGAAGACAUGUGGGGCCCUGAGACCGUGAUCAGGGGGCUAAGACGUGAGUUUGCUCCUUUUCACCUCUUGUUGCAGGCAGUGAGUGGGAUCUGUCAGGAAAAUGGACUGCAGAAACUCCUAGUUCCUGAUGGGAACAGGCCAACUCAAACUUGACCCGUUUUAGCUCAGAUAGAGCCAUUGAUUAGUGCUAAAUUAGGAAUCACGACUUGUGCCGGACUCUACCUGACCGAUUUGAACUUAGCUAGACCCAUCUUAAAUUGAUGAGUGCUAAAAAUGACUUGACUCAACUUUAUUAGGAUCAAAAUAUCAGUGUUGAGCAUGUUGUAUUUGAGGUGGAAAUAAGGAUCAACAAUUGAUCUUUUGAGAGGGAGAUCUGCGGAUGUAUCAUUCAAGAAUUCAAACCAAAGCCUUUAACUGCUAAGUAGAGAGGUGCGGCCGCUUGAACAAAA
This is a non-coding RNA of Phoenix dactylifera (date palm), 2590 nucleotides long. NCBI's taxonomy places the organism in Eukaryota, Viridiplantae, Streptophyta, Magnoliopsida, Arecales, Arecaceae. The record is from RefSeq and is a predicted model, not a curated record.